GGAUGGCUCAACGGUAAAGCGUCAGGCUAACAAUCUGACACUCGCCGGUUCUAGCCCGGUGGAGAUCCA
Molecule: non-coding RNA, 69 nt
Organism: Ancylostoma ceylanicum
Lineage: Eukaryota; Metazoa; Nematoda; Chromadorea; Rhabditida; Ancylostomatidae
Source: Rfam